This 75-nucleotide transfer RNA is filed under the name Cupriavidus smyrnaeus. Its description in RNAcentral is "Cupriavidus sp. TA19 tRNA-Gly". The record is from RNAcentral. Lineage: Bacteria; Pseudomonadati; Pseudomonadota; Betaproteobacteria; Burkholderiales; Burkholderiaceae.
CACAGCAUGGGCGGGUUGAUCGCGGCGCGCUUUGCCACAGCGCGCGUGCGCCAGGUGCGCGCGCUGGUGCUGUCA